Pogona vitticeps (central bearded dragon) is the source of this 1729-nucleotide non-coding RNA. The record is from RefSeq and is a predicted model, not a curated record. Lineage: Eukaryota; Metazoa; Chordata; Lepidosauria; Squamata; Agamidae.
GGUUGGUAGGCGGGAGUGGCUGAGGGCGAGUGUUGGACGAGGAAGCCUCGGUUCUGUCCCGGGUGUCGCCCGAGUCGCUUUCCUUUCAUGAAAUAAGGAAGGAGCGAAGGCACGCGCGCCUGCCUGGGAGGCAAAUUCUGCUCCUGGACGGCGAGCGCCGCUUUCUGCAGUCUCUUUUAGAUUUAUUAGUUGAGUCCCUGAAGUCUGAAAACCAUGGAGCAGUACCCAGACCUACAAGAAGACCUGAGUUUGGAGGAUACCAAUGAAUCCCUUAAUCAGCUCAAAUUGGCCUCUCUAGAUGACAAGAACUGGCCACCGGAUGAAGUUCCUGUUUUUCCAAAGUCUGAUGAUACCAAGGGCUCUCCUGAUUCUGUUACUCACUUGCGGUGGGAUGAUCCAUACUAUGACAUUGCUAGACACCAGAUAGUGGAAGUAGCAGGACAGGGUGCACUUCAUGGGGGCCAGUCAGGUGAUGACAAGUAUGGGCGGAAAGUAAUUCUGUUUAGUGCCUGCCGGAUGCCUCCCAGUUAUCAGCUUGAUCAUGUGAAAUUGCUGAGCUACUUGAAGUAUACACUGGACCAAUAUGUGGAGAGUGAUUACACCCUAGUGUAUUUGCACCAUGGCCUGACCAGUGAGAACAAACCAUCUCUGAGUUGGUUGCGGGAUGCUUACCGGGAGUUUGACCGCAAAUACAAAAAGAACAUCAAAGCAUUGUACAUUGUGCAUCCAACCAUGUUCAUCAAGACUCUGUUGAUCCUCUUCAAGCCCCUGAUCAGCUUUAAGUUUGGAAGGAAGAUUUUCUAUGCAAACUACCUGAGUGACCUGGAGGAACAUGUGAAACUGGAACAACUGGGGAUCCCAAGCCAGGUGCUAAAGUAUGAUGAAUAUCUGAGAUCACUUCAAAAGCCCUCCCAAGUGCCUCAGAAAGUCACACCACCCCGCCCACCACUGCCCAACCAACAGUUCGGGGUCUCUCUCCAGCACUUAAGGGAGAAGAGCUCAGACCAGAAUCCCAUUCCACUGGUGGUCAGGGAGACUAUUGCCUUUCUACAGGAGCACGCUGUUGCCACACAAGGAAUUUUUCGGCGAUCCGCAAAUACACAAACAGUCAGAGAAGUUCAGCAGAAAUAUAAUAUGGGACUGCCAGUGGACUUCUUGCAAUACGAAGAUGUUCACCUUCCUGCUGUGAUUCUCAAGACCUUUUUGAGGGAUCUGCCAGAGCCUCUUCUCACAUUUGGUCUCUAUAGUGAUGUUGUCAAUUUCUCCCAUGUAGAGGAGGAAAAGCGUGUGGAUAUUGUUCGCAAAAUACUUCAGACUCUCCCAGAGGAAAACUACCAAGUGUUACAUGUACUGAUGACCUUCCUUGAGCAGGUUUCUGCUAACAGUGACACCAACAAGAUGACCAAUGCUAACCUUGCAGUAGUUUUUGGCCCAAACCUGUUGUGGGCCAAAGAUGCAGCCAUAACCCUGAAAGCCAUCAAUCCGAUCAACACUUUCACAAAGUUCCUGUUGGAUAACCAAAGAGAGCUUUUCCAGAACAUGGAGGCUUGACUCAGAGUCUGUCUUAUGUUACUGUGCUCUGUGUCCACUCUGACCCUCCUCUUUUCUCUCUUCCCAAUUUUCCUUUCAACUGUGUCCUGGAGUCGUGGCCAACUCUUGGGAAACUCUAGGUGGUGAGCAGAGUGGAAGAGGGUGUGUAUGUGAGAGAUGGGUGUGUGUGUGUGUGUGU